RNAcentral lists this long non-coding RNA (410 nucleotides) under Homo sapiens (human). RNAcentral describes it as "HSALNT0308882". Lineage: Eukaryota; Metazoa; Chordata; Mammalia; Primates; Hominidae. The record is from RNAcentral.
CCUUGGGGAGGAGAGGCCCACGUGGAAAGGAGCCCACGGCCCUGGCUGUGCUCCCAGCUGAUUAGCACCAGUGUGCCAGGCCUGGGGGCCGCUGUCCUGGGCACCCCCAGUCACGUCGUCCCAUCUGACAGCACAUGGAGCAGAGCAGAAUGGAAUAACAGCAAACAACAUUGGAGGAGGACUUGUCUGGGAGAGCAGCCAUUUUAAAGAAGAGCACAUUAAGUCACAAACAGUCGCAGCUGAUCUACUUUGCAGCAUCGCCAUACAUGCCUAACUAAAUAUUGAAAUCCCGGGAAAAACUCACUGUGCAUCAUGUUCCAGAAACUAGCUUUGCAAACAGUCUUUUCAGAUGUGUACAUUUUGUGUAUUUGAGGCAUAUAAUAUAUAUAUUUUCCUCCAUGUUCACCCAA